UAGGGAAUCUUCGGCAAUGGACGGAAGUCUGACCGAGCAACGCCGCGUGAGUGAAGAAGGUUUUCGGAUCGUAAAGCUCUGUUGUAAGAGAAGAACGAGUGUGAGAGUGGAAAGUUCACACUGUGACGGUAUCUUACCAGAAAGGGACGGCUAACUACGUGCCAGCAGCCGCGGUAAUACGUAGGUCCCGAGCGUUGUCCGGAUUUAUUGGGCGUAAAGCGAGCGCAGGCGGUUAGAUAAGUCUGAAGUUAAAGGCUGUGGCUCAACCAUAGUUCGCUUUGGAAACUGUCAAACUUGAGUGCAGAAGGGGAGAGUGGAAUUCCAUGUGUAGCGGUGAAAUGCGUAGAUAUAUGGAGGAACACCGGUGGCGAAAGCGGCUCUCUGGUCUGUAACUGACGCUGAGGCUCGAAAGCGUGGGGAGCGAACAGGAUUAGAUACCCUGGUAGUCCACGCCGUAAACGAUGAGUGCUAAGUGUUGGUCUCAUAAGAGAUCAGUGCUGCAGCUAACGCAUUAAGCACUCCGCCUGGGGAGUACGACCGCAAGGUUG
This 548-nucleotide ribosomal RNA is filed under the name uncultured bacterium. RNAcentral describes it as "bacterial SSU rRNA". It matches the Rfam family "Bacterial small subunit ribosomal RNA", at positions 355 to 896 of the family's 1533-position model. The record is from RNAcentral.